AUUGAACGCUGGCGGCAGGCUUAACACAUGCAAGUCGAGCGGGGUGAUGGUGCUUGCACUAUCACUUAGCGGCGGACGGGUGAGUAAUGCUUAGGAAUCUGCCUAUUAGUGGGGGACAACAUCUCGAAAGGGAUGCUAAUACCGCAUACGUCCUACGGGAGAAAGCAGGGGAUCACUUGUGAGCAUGCGCUAAUAGAUGAGCCUAAGUCGGAUUAGCUAGUUGGUGGGGUAAAGGCCGACCAAGGCGACGAUCUGUAGCGGGUCUGAGAGGAUGAUCCGCCACACUGGGACUGAGACACGGCCCAGACUCCUACGGGAGGCAGCAGUGGGGAAUAUUGGACAAUGGGGGGAACCCUGAUCCAGCCAUGCCGCGUGUGUGAAGAAGGCCUUAUGGUUGUAAAGCACUUUAAGCGAGGAGGCUCUUUUGGUUAAUACCCAAGAUGAGUGGACGUUACUCGCAGAAUAAGCACCGGCUAACUCUGUGCCAGCAGCCGCCGCCG
RNAcentral lists this ribosomal RNA (500 nucleotides) under uncultured bacterium. RNAcentral describes it as "partial 16S ribosomal RNA". It matches the Rfam family "Bacterial small subunit ribosomal RNA", at positions 30 to 523 of the family's 1533-position model. The record is from RNAcentral.